UACGGAGGGGGCUAGCGUUGUUCGGAAUUACUGGGCGUAAAGCGCGCGUAGGCGGCUUUGUAAGUCAGAGGUGAAAGCCUGGAGCUCAACUCCAGAACUGCCUUUGAGACUGCAUCGCUAGAAUCAUGGAGAGGUUAGUGGAAUUCCGAGUGUAGAGGUGAAAUUCGUAGAGAUCGGGAGGAACACCAGAGGCGAAGGCGGCGACCUGGAUAGGUACUGACACUCAACUGCGAAAGCGUGGGGAGCAAACAGG
RNAcentral lists this ribosomal RNA (253 nucleotides) under uncultured bacterium. RNAcentral describes it as "partial 16S ribosomal RNA". It matches the Rfam family "Bacterial small subunit ribosomal RNA", at positions 524 to 776 of the family's 1533-position model. The record is from RNAcentral.